Molecule: ribosomal RNA, 1346 nt
Filed under: uncultured bacterium
Lineage: Bacteria
Description: partial 16S ribosomal RNA
Rfam family: Bacterial small subunit ribosomal RNA
Source: RNAcentral
GACGAACGCUGGCGGCGUGCUUAACACAUGCAAGUCGAACGGAAAGGCCCUGCUUUUGUGGGGUGCUCGAGUGGCGAACGGGUGAGUAACACGUGAGUAACCUGCCCUUGACUUUGGGAUAACUUCAGGAAACUGGGGCUAAUACCGGAUAGGAGCUCCUGCUGCAUGGUGGGGGUUGGAAAGUUUCGGCGGUUGGGGAUGGACUCGCGGCUUAUCAGCUUGUUGGUGGGGUAGUGGCUUACCAAGGCUUUGACGGGUAGCCGGCCUGAGAGGGUGACCGGCCACAUUGGGACUGAGAUACGGCCCAAACUCCUACGGGAGGCAGCAGUGGGGAAUAUUGCACAAUGGGCGGAAGCCUGAUGCAGCAACGCCGCGUGCGGGAUGACGGCCUUCGGGUUGUAAACCGCUUUCGCCUGUGACGAAGCGUGAGUGACGGUAAUGGGUAAAGAAGCACCGGCUAACUACGUGCCAGCAGCCGCGGUGAUACGUAGGGUGCGAGCGUUGUCCGGAUUUAUUGGGCGUAAAGGGCUCGUAGGUGGUUGAUCGCGUCGGAAGUGUAAUCUUGGGGCUUAACCCUGAGCGUGCUUUCGAUACGGGUUGACUUGAGGAAGGUAGGGGAGAAUGGAAUUCCUGGUGGAGCGGUGGAAUGCGCAGAUAUCAGGAGGAACACCAGUGGCGAAGGCGGUUCUCUGGGCCUUUCCUGACGCUGAGGAGCGAAAGCGUGGGGAGCGAACAGGCUUAGAUACCCUGGUAGUCCACGCUGUAAACGGUGGGUACUAGGUGUGGGGUCCAUUCCACGGGUUCCGUGCCGUAGCUAACGCUUUAAGUACCCCGCCUGGGGAGUACGGCCGCAAGGCUAAAACUCAAAGGAAUUGACGGGGCCUCGCACAAGCGGCGGAGCAUGCGGAUUAAUUCGAUGCAACGCGUAGAACCUUACCUGGGUUUGACAUGGAUCGGGAGUGCUCAGAGAUGGGUGUGCCUCUUUUGGGGUCGGUUCACAGGUGGUGCAUGGCUGUCGUCAGCUCGUGUCGUGAGAUGUUGGGUUAAGUCCCGCAACGAGCGCAACCCUUGUUCACUGUUGCCAGCACGUUAUGGUGGGGACUCAGUGGAGACCGCCGGGGUCAACUCGGAGGAAGGUGGGGAUGACGUCAAGUCAUCAUGCCCCUUAUGUCCAGGGCUUCACGCAUGCUACAAUGGCUGGUACAGAGAGUGGCGAGCCUGUGAGGGUGAGCGAAUCUCGGAAAGCCGGUCUCAGUUCGGAUUGGGGUCUGCAACUCGACCUCAUGAAGUCGGAGUCGCUAGUAAUCGCAGAUCAGCAACGCUGCGGUGAAUACGUUCCCGGGGCU